GCAGGUAUCCACUCACUACCCUAGUGAGUAUACCAUAUCUAGUCUCAAUAUGGUGUACAUGAUAAAAUAAAUUCUACUCAUAAACACUCUAUGUAUGUUGGACUGAAAAAACCCAAGCAGCCUCUUAGAUCUAUCUCUAUAGAUCUUCAUCCCUAGGAUGAGAGAUGCUUUUCCUAAGUCUUUUAUGGAGAACAAUAAUAACAGUGAAAUCUUU
This 214-nucleotide long non-coding RNA is filed under the name Elaeis guineensis (African oil palm). RNAcentral's name for it is "long non-coding RNA (EGUI_LNC014472)". The record is from RNAcentral. Lineage: Eukaryota; Viridiplantae; Streptophyta; Magnoliopsida; Arecales; Arecaceae.